RNAcentral lists this ribosomal RNA (497 nucleotides) under uncultured bacterium. RNAcentral's name for it is "partial 16S ribosomal RNA". It matches the Rfam family "Bacterial small subunit ribosomal RNA", at positions 28 to 507 of the family's 1533-position model. The record is from RNAcentral.
GAUGAACGCUGGCGGCGUGCCUAAUACAUGCAAGUCGAGCGAACAGAUGAGGAGCUUGCUCCUCUGACGUUAGCGGCGGACGGGUGAGUAACACGUGGAUAACCUACCUAUAAGACUGGGAUAACUUCGGGAAACCGGAGCUAAUACCGGAUAAUAUAUUGAACCGCAUGUUUCAUUGGUAAAAACCGUUUUUGCUUUCCCUAAUGAUUGGUUCCGCGCCGCAUUAGCUAGUUGGUAAGGUAACGGCUUACCAAGGCAACGAUGCGUAGCCGACCUGAGAGGGUGAUCGGCCACACUGGAACUGAGACACGGUCCAGACUCCUACGGGAGGCAGCAGUAGGGAAUCUUCCGCAAUGGGCGAAAGCCUGACGGAGCAACGCCGCGUGAGUGAUGAAGGUCUUCGGAUCGUAAAACUCUGUUAUUAGGGAAGAACAAAUGUGUAAGUAACUAUGCAUGUCUUGACGGUACCUAAUCAGAAAGCCACGGCUAACUACGUG